CCCUCCCUCUUUCUUCAUGCCUAACACAUGCAAGUCGAACGAGACCUUCGGGUCUAGUGGCGCACGGGUGCGUAACGCGUGGGAACCUGCCCUUAGGUUCGGAAUAACUCCCCGAAAGGGGUGCUAAUACCGGAUAAUGUCUUCGGACCAAAGAUUUAUCGCCUUUGGAUGGGCCCGCGUUGGAUUAGCUAGUUGGUAGGGUAAAAGCCUACCAAGGCGACGAUCCAUAGCUGGUCUGAGAGGAUGAUCAGUCACACUGGGACUGAGACACGGCCCAGACUCCUACGGGAGGCAGCAGUGGGGAAUAUUGGACAAUGGGCGAAAGCCUGAUCCAGCAAUGCCGCGUGAGUGAUGAAGGCCUUAGGGUUGUAAAGCUCUUUUACCCGGGAUGAUAAUGACAGUACCGGGAGAAUAAGCUCCGGCUAACUCCGUG
RNAcentral lists this ribosomal RNA (433 nucleotides) under uncultured bacterium. RNAcentral describes it as "partial 16S ribosomal RNA". It matches the Rfam family "Bacterial small subunit ribosomal RNA", at positions 36 to 507 of the family's 1533-position model. The record is from RNAcentral.